ACCCUACAGGUUGAACGUGUGGGACCGGUCAGUCGUUCCCGCGCCGGCACCGAGGGAAGCCACGUCGUCGACGAACAAGAUCUUCGAGAGUCAAAUAGAACGAAAGGAAAAAAUCUCCGUCCCAGAUUCUGCGCCUGAUCUCGAAGGACAGUCGAAGAAAACGUCGGCAAAAAUGACCCAAGCACUUGUCGUCCUGAAAACGAAGAGCUCCUUCCCUUGCAAAUCAUGCGGAACGAGCUACGGCAGCAGGCGAAAUCGACAAAGGCACAACAAACGGAGGCAUCUCAAUGAUCGCACCUCAAACUUCCCUCCCCGAACAGCUCCGACUUGCAGUUCAGAUUCGAAGGCGGAGCAGUGUCGGAGUUCUCCUGGGCGCAAAGAACCCGAAGUGAUCCCCGAUUUGUCCAAGUAUUUCACAGGAGCCGUGGCAUGUGCUGAGAUCGAGUUGGCAGCCGAACGUCGCAGAAAACAUGUGCACCAUUACCGACCGAUUUGUACGUGCGCAAGUUGCACCGCGACGACAGCUCGAGGGAGGAUAAUUGAGAGGAGAUUUUUGAAGACACGGUCUAAGGUGAUCACGUGCGCGGCGUGCGACAAUACCUUCUACGACACCGGAACUCUGGGAGCACAUUUCAAUAGCCGUCACCUUCGUCACAAGACAAGCAUGAACCGCAAACUGAAAGAUGACUGCAUCCAAGCUCGCCUAAACGAUCGAGAUUACGUCGACGAGGAUUUUUCAGAAGAGUCCGAGUGGGACGACUCCGAUUAUUCCGAAGCUGAGAGUGACGGAGACCCGUCAAGUACGGAACAGUCAAGCUGUUGAAACCGAUCAAGAGUCUCGCCGAGAAGCUCUAGUCAACGAUGAAAUUCAUCGCUUGCGCUUUCGUCAUCAGCAAGGAGUCUUCGCUCCUCGCCUGGAAGGCGGACUUUAUUGACUCAAUCCUCGAUCCUACGUUGCCAUUGUGAAGGCCGCCCGCUCGGAUAACGAAUGCUGCGAAUGUCCAGUGCGCGUGCGAAUCCGAAUUCAUGUUGUAAAUUAUUUGUGAGAACCUGACUCCUCGCGUGAGAAUCUACCUAAUUUAAUAAUAACGAUCGAGAAUACAUGACAAUACAUCGUUCAAAUAUCAUAUAUAAGAAUCAUUGCUACCACCUGACGAUUAGGGAUGACCAUCCCCUUGAAUAAAUGCGUAAAUACCACCGUCGACAGGACGGUUCUGAAUGAAGGAA
This is a long non-coding RNA of Galendromus occidentalis (western predatory mite), 1227 nucleotides long. RefSeq lists it as uncharacterized. The record is from RefSeq and is a predicted model, not a curated record. Lineage: Eukaryota; Metazoa; Arthropoda; Arachnida; Mesostigmata; Phytoseiidae. The transcript is spliced from 2 exons.